CUUCUCCUAGCUUCAAAACCAUGAGCAAAUAAAUUCCCAUUGUUCAAGUCAACUCAUUGUAUGGUAUGAUGGGAAAGUAAGACAACAUCCUCAAUGAUGUAGGUGACUUGUAGAAGGAGCUUAUGCAGUUCAUCACGAAACUGAACACAUGCCUCCCCCUGGAUUCAAGGACCCUGAAGGAGGAGAUACAACAGGAGCUGGAGUAGCUGAUACCCUAGCUGCUGCCCCUCAGCCAGGUGAGCCAGCAGAUCAGGAACAACAUGCUUGAGCUGUAGUGGCACCUACAGCACCCUACAGCACCCUUCAGCGUGAAAUGGCUACUGCUUCCUUUCUGCCUUCCAAAUCUCAUGCAGUUUCUCUUGUGGCCAACCUAACCUGGAACCAAAAAGAGAAAGGAAUUCUGGGAAACACAGUUAAAUUGACAAAGUGCAAAACUAUCACCCCAACCUAUUAAUAUAUUUCAUAACUACUUAAAUUUUGUAAUGAAGUGGAAAACUUUUAUCUGGAGAUACAAUUCUUUUCAUCUCACUUGUUUUUAUUUUAAAUCCAAGUUAAAUGAUAUGUAAUAAGUCUUAAGACACUAGCUUAUAAUGGGCAAUCUCAUUAUAAUAAACUUUAAAAAGAUCUA
Choloepus didactylus (southern two-toed sloth) is the source of this 628-nucleotide long non-coding RNA. RefSeq lists it as uncharacterized. The transcript is spliced from 2 exons. The record is from RefSeq and is a predicted model, not a curated record. Lineage: Eukaryota; Metazoa; Chordata; Mammalia; Pilosa; Megalonychidae.